CGGAGGGUGCAAGCGUUGUCCGGAUUUAUGGGUUUAAAGGGUGCGUAGGCGGCCCUGUAAGUCAGUGGUGAAAGCCUCCAGCUCAACUGGAGAACUGCCAUUGAUACUGCAGGGCUUGAGUACAGACGAGGUUGGCGGAAUUGAUUGUGUAGCGGUGAAAUGCAUAGAUACAAUCAAGAACUCCGAUUGCGUAGGCAGCUAACUAGGCUGUAACUGACGCUGAGGCACGAAAGCGUGGGGAGCGAACAGGAUUAGAUACCCUGGUAGUCCACGCUGUAAACGAUGAUUACUCGAUGUUGGCGAUAAACUGCCAGCGUCUUAGCGAAAGCGUUAAGUAAUCCACCUGGGGAGUGCGCCCGCAAGGGUG
This 367-nucleotide ribosomal RNA is filed under the name uncultured organism. RNAcentral describes it as "bacterial SSU rRNA". It matches the Rfam family "Bacterial small subunit ribosomal RNA", at positions 526 to 896 of the family's 1533-position model. The record is from RNAcentral.